Molecule: long non-coding RNA, 1182 nt
Organism: Cyprinus carpio carpio
Lineage: Eukaryota; Metazoa; Chordata; Actinopteri; Cypriniformes; Cyprinidae
Source: Ensembl
UCCCACACUGAAGUUCCCCAGUCUCGGGCCCUGCCUGUGAGGAGGGUUAAAACAUAAGCCACCUUAGUCUCCUCCUGGGCGUAACGGCGGGGCUGAAGGGCAAAAACUAGAGAGCACUGAGACAGGAAGGCUCUGCAAGAGUUGGGGUUCCCAUCAUAGGGAGGUGGAUUGUUGGCAUGAGGCUCAGGGUCAUGAUGGGGAGAGGAAAGGCUGGUGGUGUCCUCCGUUCUGGCAGAUGUCUGUCUGCGAAGUUCCUGGAGCUGUGCAGUCAGCAUGUUCAACUGAGCAUUAAGGGACUCAACCUCCCGGGAUGUGGAUGUCAGCUGGGAGGCAUGCUGGCCCAAGAGAAUGCCCUGCUGGGUGACUGCUGAUCUGAGUGGAUCUGCACCUGCUGAGUCCAUGAUGGUCAGAUCGUUCUGUCAGUACGAGACUUGGACUCAGUUGCAGGUGCCCAAAAGGUCAGUUUAUUUAACAGGCUUGAAUUUCAAAAAAAAAGGAAAAAGAGUAAACAAAAAACUAUCCAGGUACAGGGCAGCCCGGAGCAGCUCACGAAGUGCCUCCUGGACGAAUUCCACUAAGAAAAAUCCACAGCAAGGCCGAGAUAAACUGACAGAGAGGCGGGGGCGCUGUUGAGGCGGGGAACUGGUGGCGCACCGGCAGCGAGGCGAAGAAGAGCACUGCCGGCGAUCGGUGAUCGCGAGCAAGGGAAGGGUAGGAGAAUUAGCGCUGCCUGAAAGCAGGAGGAAGAGGGAGAAAACAAAACUAAAGGAUGAAAACAAAACUAGCACGAUCUCUGUGCAGGCAAAACAUGAGCUGUGGCUGGAGCUGAGACAUAAACGAGCACAACACGCCGAUCUGACAACAGACAGCACACGAGAGGAGACUAAAUAGAGAAGGAGUGAUUAACAUAAUGCAGAGCAGGUGAUAGUGGCCAAUAACAAAAUAAUAAUGAAACAAGAGGGCGGAGACGGGCACCACGAUGACACAGAAGCACAUGAGAGCAGUGUGUGACCGCCAGCCCCACCGCACACGGGAGAGCACAACGGACCCACACUGCCACAGCACACAAGAGCACAGAGGAAGCUGAGCACCCCGCACCGAAACACCUCAUCUCACCGCCUUCUACCACCAUAUUUAUUAAUAAAAUCCGCCCUUCGGGGAACUCACCUGUACUUACUCGUC